UCUCGCCCCCCUCUCUCCCAACCCUUGUACCAGUGCCAAAUGUGUCCCCCCACUGGUACAGAGGAUGGAAGGGAGGGUGGUGCAG
Molecule: non-coding RNA, 85 nt
Organism: Podarcis lilfordi (Lilford's wall lizard)
Lineage: Eukaryota; Metazoa; Chordata; Lepidosauria; Squamata; Lacertidae
Source: the annotation of a GenBank genome assembly